UAACUGAAUCAUGGGGGCAGGUCUUUCCUGUGCUGUUCUUGUGAUAGUGAAUAGGUCUCACAAGAACUGAUGGCUUUAAAAACAAGAGUUUCACUGCAUAAGCUCUCUCUUGGCCUGCCACCAUCCAUGUAAGAUGUGACUUACUCCUCCUUGCCUUCUGCCAUGAUUGUGAGGCCUCCCCAGUCAUGCGGAACUGUAAGUCCAUUAAAUCUUUUUUUUUUUUUUUCCUUUGGUAAAUUGCCAAGUCUUGGGUAUGUCUUUAUUAACAGUGUGAAAACAGAUUAAUACAAGUGGUAACAGCAUUUUGUUUAGAAAUAAGGGAGGUGAUACCAGAAGAAACAGUACAGAUACCAGAAGAGCAGAACAUGGUUGCUUUGGAAAGCAGGAAUUGAGAAUAUGGAAAAGUGGGGCAGGAAAGUGCUGUUUUUUGGCAAUAAUCUUUGCAUAACUGCUUCUGUCCACUAUUGUAGAUACAAAUAUUACUUUGCUAAAGGUUAACUUCUUUAACCCCAUUUGGUUAAGAAGAGCAGCAAAGUAUUCUUGAAAGAAGUAGCUUAUUUGAUUGGCUGCUGUGUUAGACCCUUAUAUUCUACCUUGAAGCGGAAGGUCUUUCCUGAUCAAAGAUUGUAUGGUACCACAUUGUUCUUUUAAAAUUACUUGCCAUUUAUCCAACAAGCAUUUACGGUGCACCAACAAUGAGACGGGCUCUGAGCUAGGCACCGGCUCUGCUUUUCUUCAACCCAUGAGGCCUUUGCUGCCCAGAAGCAUGGCUCACAGUGAGGCCAGUAUGAAAAGGGGCACCUGAGACAAGGACGAUUGCCCUCUGCACCCACCCUUCCACCCCGUGUCUCUCACGUAGACAAGGGCAGUAGCCUCGUAUUGAGACACCCACUCUCCUCCUUUGUCCUCAUACAACCUAUUCACACAGGAGCCAGAGGAGUCCUUUUAACGUAGGUUAGAUCAGUUCAUUCUGCUGCCUCCAACCUCUACAUCUUCCCGGCUCAUUCGGCAUAAAAUCCAAAUCCCUCCAUGAUCAAAAGGCUCCACCCAGCUGGGCCUCUUACUGACUCUCCUGAACAUUCACAACCCCUGACAUCCCUCUCCUGUCUUCAUCUGCUUCUACCACUAAUACUAUGAUGCACGCAAUUACUUAGUAUCUCUUUCUGCACCAUGGACCACAACAAACAAGGCUAGUGACUUCACUGUGGUCAUUACCGCAGCCCCCGCACAUGGGACAGGGCCUGACACUAGGCAUUCGUAGCUAGUUGUUGAGUGAAUACAAGAACAGUAAGGAGGCACUGAAGAUGACGUUAGUAGGUGAAUGGUAACAGGUUUGAGCAUUAAAAAAACAUUAUUGAGGUAGAAUACACAUACGAGUUAACAUCUUUACCAUUUUUAAGUGUACAAUUCAGUGGUAAUAAAAACAUUCAUAUUCUCUUUUUCCCGUUAAUCCCCCAACUCCAGCCCCAUCCUCUGGCCUCUGGUAACCACCAAUCUGUUUUCUAUUUUCAUGAGACCCCUUUUUUUUUCUUUGAGACAGAGUCUCUCUCUGUCACCCAGGCUAGAAUGCAGUGGUGCUAUUUCAACUUAUGGCAACCUCUGCCUCCCAGGUUCAAGUGAUUCUUGUGCCUCAGCCCCCCAGCUGGGAUUACAAGCAUGUGCCACCACACCCAGAUAAUUUUUGUAUUUUGUAGUAGAGAUUAACCAUAUUGGCCAGUCUGGUCUCAAACUCCUGGCCUGAAGCGAUCCACCCCCCUUGGCCUCUCAAAGUGCUGGAAUUACAGGUAUGAGCCACUGCACCCAGCCUGAGAUCCACUUUUUUAGCUCCCACAUGUGAGUGAGAAAACGUGAUACUUGUCUUUCUAUGCUUGACUUAUUCCACUUAACAUAAUGGUCUCCAGACUUGAGCACUUCUAAACCAUCACACUUCCUGCUGUGUGAAGAUACAUUGCAAAUAAGAAUAUCUGCAGAGACACAGGAAGCCCCGAGGGGAGGGCCAGUAUUGCAGUGAGGAGCCUGGGUCAUCAGUGGCACUGGCAGAAGGGAUGGUGAGACCUUGAAAGCCACAGCACACAUUUAGGAGGUAGAGCCUCUAGGCUUAGGGACUGCUCAUGUUUGGGACUGAUGUGCAGAAAGUGGUCCAAGUGGUAUCCAGGUUUCCAGACCCUUGAGGAAAUGGUGGUAAUUGGUGUUUGAGGGAAACAAUAAUGAAUGUUGUAUUAUUAGUAGUAUGAAGUAACAAGGUUGAGGUUAUUGAUGACUGCAGUUAUUAGGUGGCAUGUUACACAGGUGACUCAGGAGACAUGUCUAGGCUGGAGAAACAAGUCAUUAGGAUCUAGAAGGUAAUGGAAUCUGUGGAGGUUGGUUCACCCAGUCAGAGCUUACAGAGUGAGAUGAGAAGAGGCCAAAAACAAAAUUUUGAGAAACCCUGAUUGUCAUACAUGUCAUGAUAUUCUACCUCUAGGCUGAGGCACUCAUUGCCCAGAGGCUGAGCCUUCCCUUGGAAUUGCCCGCAUUCAAAGACAGCUGCUUUACCCAGGGUCCUAUCCCCUUCCUGGAGACAACCCUCGUCUGAUACCUGAUCAGGUGUAUCUCCCAAGAGGAUUUCCCAAAAUCCCCCUACACAUACAUAUCUAUUUCGCAGUCAUGAAAUAGAGAAACCCAACCUGCCACAUCAAUACUUAAGGAAGAUACAGAAGUGGCUGAUCUGAGGAAAAGCAAGAGAGAUAGAAGGCAGAAGAUGAGAUGUGGUGAGUGGUGACUCUUAAGUUGAGAGAGACUUGAGCACAUCCAAACACUGGAGGGAGAGGUAACCGACCCAGGGAAUGUAGAGGCCAACCAAUGGGACAAGGUCUGGGAGCGGUGGCAGCAUCUUCCAUCACAAGCACAGUCAAAGAAAUAGCCUUGUGUGGGAGGAGGCCACAUCUUCCACUAAGAGGUCUUCAGAUGGAAAGGAGCAGUAUCCAAAAAGAGGUGAUCAAGGAAUGCAACCUGAGGAGCUUCAUCUGCACUUGGACCUGAUGAGAUGACAAAACCCUGGACAUCAAGCCACUAUAAUGGGAUGAGACUGUGGGAAAAGAGUGAAUGUAUUUUUCGCACAAGAAAGCUUUGAAUUAUUAUGACCAGAGGGAGAUCCGUAACACUGUGCUAAGCAAAGAGCCACCUAUUCCAGUUAUCUGCCCUAUGCUGUUGAAGUCUCAAAGAAGAACCCCAGAAGGGCAAGAUGGAUAUUGCAAGACCUCAUGGGUGGAUGCUCUGGAACUUGCUCCACAUCCCUUCGACUGCACUCUGUUGGUCAAAGCAAGUUACAAGGUCAGUCCAGAUUCAAGGGCGUGGAGAUAUUGACUUCACCUCUGGCUGGGAGGAGGGUCGAAAUUCACAUUGGAAAGUGGCGUACCCAUGGGUUGGGUGCAAUUUGAGGUCCCCACAUAAUUUUCUACACGUGUGAAUUUAAAAAUAAGAAUUUAACUUAUUUUUAAUUCUUAACUUUCAAAUGGAAGGGAUGAUGAGCCUCACCAGUUUUCCCAGUGUUUUGAUGAAGCUCAUUAUCCUAAGCAAUCUAGGCUCAAUCUGUCUGCCAGGAAAUGGGAAGAGCUGCAGAAGUGCCUUGAGUGGGAGGUACUGCGGGGACUUGGCCUCAAUUGGCUUAAGAAUGUUACCAUUUUCUGGAGGAAAAAUGUCCUGGGUUUUAACGGAAGAGCUCAGGUCUGUGUUGAAGCCAGGGCUGACCAUGCUGCAGGCCCCUGGCCCUGGAACUUCACUCAUGCACACUUUCUGUUGCUCCUUGUUCCUUAUCAAUUCAAUUCUUUGGACAUCAUGACCAGUAGACUAUAGGAGCUGCUCUCUUAAAUCCAGAACACAAUAGAUAUUGAUACCUAAUAUUUCUACUUUGUUCCUAGUAUGUGGCUUUUAUUCAUGAUUUUUACCUCCUUACUUCCCAUUACUAAUGGCUUCUCCUGUCUUCUGAAGUAUUUUUAUCUUGCUUAUUUUACUAUCACUCCCCACCAACCACUGGCAUUUGUGGUUCAGAAGGUGUCAUUGUCCAUUGUCUAGUGUUUCUUUGCGAUAUGUUACUCUUCGUGUCUUGUAAGCUACUGUUCUCUGGGGUGUGAGCUACCCUGUUUGGUUGUGGAUUUUAGGGAACAGCCAAAUAAACCCCUAGUCUGAGUAAAUUCUGGUGUGUUUAUGGGGAGGGCAGGGAUGAUGACCAGGCCACAGAGCUCAGGUUACCCAGAGAAGCAGGGCCCACCCUCCACACCACCUCCCUCCUGAGGUUGAAUUUUUACACCUUUCUGGAGAAGCAGCACAGCCCUGGGAUCCUGGAGGUAGAGACACAGGGGCUGGAGAUCCAAGUCCAGUGGGUCUGGGUGGAGCUCGCCUGUCUCUAUCUGGUCCUCACCUCAGCAAGGCUUUUGUGCUGCUAUGACAUAACUCAUGGACAGUGGCUCCAGUGACUUGCACUGUUGCCCUUGAUUCCUGCCAUGAAGAGAGAGGCAUCGCUUGUCCCAAGGGAUUGCGAUUUAGAGUUAAAUUAUUGCUAGCCAUCCUGGUAUAGGAAGAGUUUCCAGAAGUCUCUACUCUCCCUGUGUGCCAACUCACCCCCGCCUUCCCCGGAGACGUGAAGAUGCAGGGUCAUCACCAUAUAAACCUGUCCUUUAGUACAGCGGUCCUCAACCUUUCUGGCACCAGGGACCAGUUGUGUGGAAGACAAUUUUUCCAAAACAGGAUGAUGGAAGGGAUGGUUUUGGGAUAAAACUGUUCCACCUCGUAUCAUCAGACAUUAGAUUCUCAUAAGGAGCAUGCAACCUAGGUCCCUUGCACGCACAAUUCACAAUAGGGUUUGUGGUCCCAUGAGAAUCUAACAUCACCACCAAUGUGACAGGAGGCAGAGCUCAGGCAGUAAUGCUGGCUUUCCCACCACUCACCUCCUGCUGUGUGACCCAGUUCCUAGCCGGGGUCGGGGACCCCUGCUUUAGUCCUCCGAACUAGCCAUAUGUGGCUAGUAGAAGAGGAAUGAGAUCUGAAAUGUGCGUAACCAGAAGCCAGUGCAUGGAAAAUUCUUCCAGUCAUCAACUGUGUACAAUUAUGUUUGGUUCUCAUCGAUUUCCAGUCAAAACAGAAGUUCUCUUUUGUCAGUAACAUGCUCAAAACUCAGCAAGUACAAUUAUAAAUGCACUUUUCAUGUUUUUCUUUAAUGAUGGAAAUUGCACAAAAUAGAAUUUAUCAGAUCCCAUGAGUACAAAUUUGCAGCAGAGCAGAAGAUAGCCAGUAUGUCUAUGUGAGAAGUUACACGUUCUCUACAUCCCAACCUAUUGGUUUACAUCUAGCAUAUCCAAUGCAUUUUGUCCUGAGGAAGUCUCCUGGUUCCAGAUGAAAGAGAAUACAAAAUUGUCAGCAAUACAGCAAAACAGCCUGAAGAAACAAGUGACAAAUUCCUACACAUUUAUCAGGAAGUCAAUACAUGUGGAGUAAGAAUAACUGGAUUACACAAUUAAGUAGCACAAUACAAAGUGUAGCAGUCCCCACCUUGCGGAUGCCUGAAACAAAACCCUACAUAUACUACACUUUUGCCUAUACAUACAAACCUAUGAUAAAGUUUAAUUCAUAAAUUAAGCACAUGAAGAGAUGAACAACAAUGACUAAUAAUAAAACAGAACAAUUAUAACAAUAUACUGCAAUAAAAGUAAAAUAAGGAUUACAUGAUCCCAAGCACUGUGAGACGGCAGCAGUCAAUCUGAUAGCCAAGACUGCUGCUAAGUGACUAACGGGCAGGUAGCGUCUACACCAUGGAUAUGCUGGACAAAGGGGUGAUUAAUGUCCCAAGUGGGACAGAGCUGGACAGUGUGAGAUUUUAUGAUGAUAUUCAGAACAGCAAGUAAUUUAAAACUUAUGAAUUAUUUAUUUAUGGAAUUUUCCAUUUAAUAUUUUCAGACUGUGGUUGACCUCGGGUAACUGAAACCACAGAAAGCAAAACAUGGAUAAAGUGGGGUCUACUGUAGGGGCAAUGUUUAAAAGCAUUUGAAUUGCUCUUGUAUGCCUUACUUUGAGAUUAAUUGUAUAAGUUUUCAGAAUUAUUGAUCAUAUCGAAAUUUAAAUUUGAUGUGAAGGAAGUAUCUUAGGAGAAGCUAAAAAAUACAUAAAUGAACGAAGACUGGAAGAAUCUUCAAGAUGUUAAAAACUCAUAUAACCACAGAAAUAAAAACUCCAAUUGUUAAAGUCAUAGUAAAGAGAAGGAAGCAAAUCAUAAUAGGUCAAAAUAUAAAGAUAAAAUGACCACUGAAAGGAUAAUAAAGAUUGUGAAAAUCAGGACACUCUCAAACAGAAACCAAAAGCGGAAGAGAGAUGAAAGCAAGAGCAAAGUAAGACACAAUUUGUACGAUCAACAGAACUGGCACUAGGGUCAAGAGCAGCUUCACUUUGCAGAAUUCAUCAAUUUGAAGAACUUCUGUGAUCUUUUGUGAUGGCCUGUUACAAUGAACAGUAGUUUCAUUUAUAUCUGUUCCACUAAAAACCACUGCUUUUUCCAAUAUCGUGAUCACAGUAAUGUUUACAAAGAAUCAAACAGAACAUAAGAAGGACUAAAGAUACUUCUGAAACAGAUAUUAAAAAAUAAUAAUGAUGGCCAAACUGCUGAGAUGGUGGCUGGCCUCUCUGAAGACUAAGGGCCUGGUGCUGUUUUGGUUGUAAACUGUGUUCCAUUAAGUGGUACCUCAAAUGAACCGGACACUAAAUACUCCUCCAUUAUUAUAGAUUCUGCAUUGGAUGUCACAGACAUUGAUCUGUGGGAAAUACUGUGUGCUACUCCUGAGAAAACCCUAUGAGAAAUUUUAAACUUUUUUGCUGACAACUAUUUAUGACUUUAUUCAACAAAGUGAAACAACAUUUGGACGACUGUUGCCUGUUCUUGAAUGUCAUUCAUGGUCAGCCACACAAAAACACUGCUAUUACAGAGAACAAAGGGCCCCACCUGCUCUUUAAAAAUAUUUGUAAAUGGCGCAGUGUGUGUGGUGGGCAUCUCGUUCCCUUAAAACUGUUGGAGAAAAAGCUGCCUCCACAAUGCUGAGGUUGUUGAUGACUUUGCCAUUCUGCUACAUUAAAUGUUUUCUUUUCAGGUUUGAAUUGUAGAUGUGUUAUUAUCUGUACAUCACAUAUGCCAAGCUGGAUCUUCCUUUAAAGCUUUUAGGGCUGAUAAAAUGCCUUGGCCAUUACGAAGCUAUUUAAGACUCACACGUGAGGCCAAAAAUAUUUGAAUGACACUGAUGUACAUUUUUUAAAACUCAGAGGAGAAACCUGAGAAGAAACAAAAUGGAAAAAAAAAAAAAAAAAAAUUAGGCCAGGCACGGCGGCUCACGCCUGUGAUCCUAACACUUUGG
Molecule: long non-coding RNA, 7373 nt
Filed under: Homo sapiens (human)
Lineage: Eukaryota; Metazoa; Chordata; Mammalia; Primates; Hominidae
Description: HSALNT0144538
Source: RNAcentral